This is a non-coding RNA of Acanthosepion pharaonis, 111 nucleotides long. The record is from the annotation of a GenBank genome assembly. Lineage: Eukaryota; Metazoa; Mollusca; Cephalopoda; Sepiida; Sepiidae.
UUACAGCCAUAUCACGUUGAAACACCAGUUCUCGGACAAUCACAGAAGCUAAGCAAUGUUGAGCCUAGUCAGUAUAGAGAUGGGUGACCGCAUAGGAAUACUAGGUGGUGG